This 472-nucleotide ribosomal RNA is filed under the name uncultured bacterium. RNAcentral describes it as "partial 16S ribosomal RNA". It matches the Rfam family "Bacterial small subunit ribosomal RNA", at positions 28 to 507 of the family's 1533-position model. The record is from RNAcentral.
GACGAACGCUGGCGGCGUGCUUAACACAUGCAAGUCGAACGAUGAACCCGGAGCUUGCUCUGGGGGAUUAGUGGCGAACGGGUGAGUAACACGUGAGUAACCUGCCCUGGACUCUGGGAUAAGCGUUGGAAACGACGUCUAAUACCGGAUAGGACCUUGGAUCGCAUGAUCUGGGGUGGAAAGUUUUUUCGGUCUGGGAUGGACUCGCGGCCUAUCAGCUUGUUGGUGAGGUAAUGGCUCACCAAGGCGUCGACGGGUAGCCGGCCUGAGAGGGUGACCGGCCACACUGGGACUGAGACACGGACCAGACGCCUACGGGAGGCAGCAGUGGGGAAUAUUGCACAAUGGGCGAAAGCCUGAUGCAGCAACGCCGCGUGCGGGAUGACGGCCUUCGGGUUGUAAACCGCUUUUAGUAGGGAAGAAGGGCUUCGGCUUGACGGUACCUGCAGAAAAAGGACCGGCUAACUACGUG